RNA transcript from Diceros bicornis minor, 2064 nucleotides. RefSeq lists it as uncharacterized. Lineage: Eukaryota; Metazoa; Chordata; Mammalia; Perissodactyla; Rhinocerotidae. The record is from RefSeq and is a predicted model, not a curated record. The transcript has 6 exons.
GGAGCUUCAGGUUCAUCCUCAUCCUCGAGGGAAAACCUGAGGGCCCAGCCAAGGUCCCACAAGUUGAUGCGAGCCCCUCUGCAGGGUGAACCUGCACUCAGUGCCACCCAGGAAGCCACCAGUCAGGAGCGGGCACAGAGUCUCUGGAAGGAACUCCAGGAGACAGUGUGGCCUCCACAGUGUGAGGCAGCCAGGGAGAUGCAAACAGGUCUGCUGUAGAUGCUGCCGAUGAGACCCCCUCUUCCUAGCCAAGGCCUGCUGGAUAAGAGUGGCAUUUCCGUGGGUGACUUUAUCCCUCAGGAUCUGAGGCGUGCAGAUUUAUUGGCUGGCUUCCUUCUUACAGUUUCUCCUCAGCACACACUCAAGAGAUGCCAUCUGUCCCUCGAGAGGCUGUUGACCGAAAGAGGCUGAAGAGAGAUGUGGAGCCCACCUACAGUGGGACCAGCCUUGGGCCUGAUGAGAGCUUGGCCCAGAGCCCCCAAGUUCAUCAUUCACAAUGAUGCCUCAGAAACCCUCCCAGAGCCCCACACCCUCCAACAGAUGUCACCCUGGAGCCAGCCGUGGAAGAUGUGCAGGGUGAACACAGCGACACCGGCCCCCGGUCCCUCAGCGGGGUCAUCCUGUCAGCACUGGGGCCCAAGAACUCCUCGACUCGCUGCACUCCUACUGCUUCUGCUCCCCGGGGAACAGGAGCACAGGUGCCGCCUGCGGGAGCAGGUGGAGAAGGACAGCGAGCUGAAGAGGGGCAGCUGCCGACAGCCAGGUGCGCACUCUGCAGGAGGAGCUGGACGAGCUGAAGGGAGGGGGCUCCCUGCCUUAGCAGCCUGCUGCCCCCAGCCGAGUUUGGUGGCAGCAGUGGGAUCCAAAGGAGACGCCUGAUGGCUUCGAGGAUGAGAAACAGUCAUUGGUACCCGCAAAACCUUUGAGUUCUCCAUCUUUUUCGCUGUUUCUGAGGGCUGUGGGAGAUGAGCUGCCGUGACCCUCUUACCCUUGUCCGGUGUGAGCUUCUGGAGGCCACUGAGGCAGAGCCAGAUGCGUCAGCUGCAGAGCUCCAGCCAGCGGCAGAAGAAGAGUAGUGGGCAGUGGUGGAGGUAGAGCUGGCUCCAGCUCUGUUGACACCACCCCCUCUAGCACUGGAGCCAGUGUCCCCUCCACCAGCAGUGUUGGAGGUGGAGCAAGGGCCAACAUGGGCUCCAGCAGGAGUGGGAGCUGCUUAGCUGGAGUCACCUGGACCAUCAUUUCUAGUGAGAAGUCCAUCUCCACCUGUGGCUCUUAAGGAGCGUGAGAAGCUUAAUCUCACGGCCUUCCUUCCUAAGCUGGUGGUGGAGCAGUUGACCAUGAUGGAUGCGGCUCCACCCUUUACCAACCAUAAGACCUGGGCAACUUUCUGAACACCCAAGACUUUGCUGUCCACCUGCAGACCGUGGAGGUGGACAUUAAGAGGAUCUGCUACACAGAGUGACUGUGCCAACUCCAUGAGGAGCUCUUCCAGAAGGUGGUGCCCUCUCCUUGCCUGGGCUCCACCUGGGGCAAGAGGAACAAGCCGGGCAAUGAGCACCAGACACCCAACAUCCAGGCCACCGUCGACCAAGUCAGAAGGGUGGCCAGCUUCGUCAUCACGCCCUGCCUCGGGGACCCGAGCAUGACAGCCCAGGACAGGGUGAGGGUGGUGGAGCGCUGGAUCCAGGUGGCCCAGGUGUGCUGUGGGAGGCCCAGUGGAGCCCCUCUCUGAAGCCUUGGGAACUGCCUCUCCACCUUUAUCAGCUCCCAGGAUUGCAGUAUGUGGUCUAAGCCCCUGCACAGUCCCUAGGCCCUUCCUGCCAGGGGCCCGCUGACUUUAACUCCAGGUCCCAGUGAGAGGAUGCUCACUUCCUACCUGGCUCCUUCCCUGGGUUGAGCUAAAAUCCUGCUCCCUGUGAGUGUUACUCUUUGGGUCCUAAAUGUGCCCUUCUGCGACUCCCUGAGCAUCUGUCUCAUCCAGGAGGGGAGAUUUAAAUAGAAGGGUACUGAAGCUAGAGCAAGCUGGGCUACAGUGCCCCACCUCACAGCUCAUUCUCUUCCCUU